This is a long non-coding RNA of Daphnia pulex (common water flea), 583 nucleotides long. RefSeq lists it as uncharacterized. The transcript has 2 exons. The record is from RefSeq and is a predicted model, not a curated record. Lineage: Eukaryota; Metazoa; Arthropoda; Branchiopoda; Diplostraca; Daphniidae.
UUCAACAAAAAUACUACCGUAUAAUUAAGCUAUAUAGUUUAUGCAUUGUUUCCGAGAAAUUAGCAAAUCGUACUUUUUUUAAAUGUUUAAUUGAAUGCGACGGCAAUGCAGCAAGAGCAGACUACUGCUGAUAAGCAGACAGGCAAAUGUCACCGAAUGUCACAAUCUCACAAAUAUAAAAAACUUGUCAGAAUAAACUUACAGGAUAUUUGUAGAAAAACUCGACUUUCUCAUCAUAUUGCCUGUUUGGUACCUAUAGACAAGUGUAUGAAAAAUUGAAAUGACGAAGAAUUUCCAGUUGGUUGAUUUGGCGUGGGAACUCGGAGUGACUGCUGCUUCUAGCUGUGAGGAACAAGUAGGUCAAACAUAUGUCAGAAUCAAAAUGAAGCUAAAUACUGGAUCAUCAUUAGAAACAACGGUGAUGGAAUUAUCUCUUAAACAGUUUUAUGAUCUUCUUCAUGAGCUAGAAAAAGCUCAAAACAACAUGAAAUAAAGGAAAAUUGUAAUGACAAAGAAGUGUAAAUGUGAUGUAAAUAAAGUGAAAAAGAAAUACAACAUUGAUUUUUCUGCAAAAUGUACCCAA